UAGGGAAUCUUCCACAAUGGACGCAAGUCUGAUGGAGCAACGCCGCGUGAGUGAAGAAGGUCUUCGGAUCGUAAAACUCUGUUGUUAGAGAAGAACACGAGUGAGAGUAACUGUUCAUUCGAUGACGGUAUCUAACCAGCGAGUCACGGCUAACUACGUGCCCG
This 164-nucleotide ribosomal RNA is filed under the name uncultured bacterium. RNAcentral describes it as "partial 16S rRNA". It matches the Rfam family "Bacterial small subunit ribosomal RNA", at positions 355 to 511 of the family's 1533-position model. The record is from RNAcentral.